UACGAAGGGGGCUAGCGUUGUCCGGAAUUAUUGGGCGUAAAGAGCUCGUAGGCGGUCUGUCGCGUCUGCUGUGAAAACUCGGGGCUUAACCCCGGGCCUGCAGUGGGUACGGGCAGACUAGAGUGCGGUAGGGGAGACUGGAAUUCCUGGUGUAGCGGUGAAAUGCGCAGAUAUCAGGAGGAACACCGGUGGCGAAGGCGGGUCUCUGGGCCGUAACUGACGCUGAGGAGCGAAAGCGUGGGGAGCGAACAGG
This 253-nucleotide ribosomal RNA is filed under the name uncultured bacterium. RNAcentral's name for it is "partial 16S ribosomal RNA". It matches the Rfam family "Bacterial small subunit ribosomal RNA", at positions 524 to 776 of the family's 1533-position model. The record is from RNAcentral.